AAGCAUUCUAUACGCAUUGUUCGUGGAUCGAAGACCGCCGCAGAAGUUCUGCUCUUGGACGUCUUCUAGCCCCACGACGCCCUUUUAUCUUUUCUUGCGGCGGUAAGAUUACUAUUUAGUUACAUUUGGAUUUUUAAGAAUUUUCUGUGGAUAUUAGGCGAGUUUUUUUGAUUUUGCGUAAGUUAGUCAUGCGUCACGUUGUACAGUUCGAAUACAGAAAAUGAGAGUUUAAGGGAAACACAAAGUGAAGCAAUUUGACUGUCGUUAUAAACUCUUUCUUUUAUUACUAGCGUUUUUUGUCUGAAUGAUUAGUUUUAACAUAUUUUAAUGGUUUAGACGAAAAAGAAAAGAACAUGAGCAGCGUCACUCAAUCAUCGGCGGACGAUAACGGUCAAACUGCGCCAUCUGUCGCAUCACCUCCGCCCAACCCGACUACCGCCGCCGCCGUUGCCGCUGCCGCCGCUGCUAUUAAUGACAAAGGAUUGAAAAUGAAGAUUAAACGGCCUAACAAAAGCGGAAGACAUGAAAUUGUUAAACAAGAGGCUAAAAAUUUGGAAAAGAAACGCGUUCACUCUCAAAUCAAUCACUCUGUUAAAAAAACAAAUGUUGGAGGUCAAACAUCGUCAAAAGAUCGUAAACCUAAUACCAGCGAAUAUGGCACACCUGCUCCAUCAACUCCUUCAAAAAGGGAACAUGACCCUUAUGACUUUUGUAAUGAUGAUAGUAGACCAUCAGCAGCAACAUCUUCUACAGUUCCUGUGAAGAAAUUAAAAUCGGAUGCCUUAAAGUCGAAUGACGGCAUGGUUGACACAGCGACUGAAACCUGUUCAAUCGGUGUCGUUACCGAUCCUGAAUGCCUGGGACCUUGUGAACCAGGAACUUCAGUCACGCUUGAAGGGAUAGUUUGGCAUGAAACAGAAAAUGGAGUACUAGUCGUAAAUAUAACUUGGCGUGGUAAAACAUACGUGGGAACACUUUUAGAUUCGACAAAAAAUACAUGGGCCCCGCCUAGACUUGGCGACGACUCGCCUACUAGCGAAUUAGAUUCGCGAACGCCGAAAGGUCGCGGUAAGAGGGGAAGGGCAGCUGCUAGUCAAGAUACAGGUGAAAGAAAACUGCGAAAAACAAGGGGUCGACAACAGGCGGCUGCUGCAGCAGCCGCUGCUGCGUCCAUUCAACAACAAAAUUGUAUAAACACAGCACCUGCUAGUCCUGCGAAAACUGGUGAAAAGAGAAAAGCUAACCGUCCAACUGAAUUGGAUCUUGAGGUUAAAAAAUCCAAACCAAAUUCAAGAUCUAGUACGCCAAUUGGUCUAAGGGGUGAUGAUGACUAUAUUGAGUGCCCCGAACCAAAUUGUAACAAAAAGUACAAACAUCUCAAUGGCCUGAAGUAUCACCAAACUCAUGCUCACGGAGAAACGGCUAUGUCGGAUUUAUCGCCCACUCUUCCACCAGCAAAGUGCCCGGAUACACCAGUUAAACAUGAAGAAGACGAGUGUUUAAAAAGUCCAAAAGCUGAAAAUACAAAUGACGAAAACAGAAAAAAACUUGUCAAGUGCGAUAGGAGUAGUAAAGGAAAUAAGCGCUCAACACCAACAACACCAAAAACUAAAACUGAACCUUCUUCCUCAACGUCUAUAAAAGACAAAAAGCCGAAAAAGAAAAAAAGUAAGGAUAAAGAGCGAACAAAAGAAUCUAGCCAGUCUUCAUCACAGAAAUCAGAAGAAAAUUCCGUGAAAAAAUUAGAAGUAGCUAAGCCUAUGGCAGCUCCAGCUGCUCCUAUGGAAUCGACGGCAACGAAAUCAAAUAAGGAAGACCAACGUCCAGCCCAAUCUCCUGCCUAUAGUGAUAUUUCAGAUGCUGCCAAUGAAACGGCUUCAAAUACUCCUGAAGCACGAGUUAAAAACAGCUUGAAUGACACAAGUACCGGUUCAAAUACAAACUGUUCCACAGCUUCUGCAUCAUCUUCAGCUGUUGCCUCAUCGUCAUAUUCUCAUUUAUAUCCAUCACCUUUUAUGGGAGUACCUAUGCAUGCAACUAGUCCAGGCGGUAGAGAAGAAGAGAAAGAAGAACGACGUCAGAAAGAAAGUCCAAUUGAAGCUGCAAAAGCAGACGAUGACGCCCACCAUCGACAACAUUUUCUUAUGCAACAACAGCAGCAAAUGCUGGCAGCUCAGCACGUAGCCCAGUUUGGUGCAGCAGCCUACGGACAAUAUCCACCAUAUAUAUUUGCCGCUCCUUCAUUUCGUCAUCCCCAGAUUGAAGAGGAUAAAAAUAAACCUAUUGAUCUUAAGAAGCCGUCCGCCUCUUCACCUGCUUCUUCUCCUAAAUCAUCAUCUACACCCAAAAGGCCUCCUCAAUGUUCUUCCGCCUCUAGCACCACUUCUAAUGGUUCUUUGAUUCAAGCACAACAAAAUGCAGUAGAUGAUAGACGAGAUGGAAAUAAAUCUCAUUUAGCAGCCGCUGAAGUUAGCAAUGGAGCAGCAGCUCGUCUCAUGGCGGAAAGAGAUCGAGCGCACGCUCUUAGGCAAGUGAGUGACAUGCAGAGAAUAGCAAUGUAUCAUCAUCCCCCGAGUACGAGAGCCAGCACUCCACCAGACAGAUAUUCUCCUCGAAUGGAUAUACCGAAAAACCUUCCAACAGGAGUUUUGUCACCUUACGCUCUUCCUAGUUCACAAAAUAUGCUUCUCUAUUUACAACAUCAACAGCAACAACAUCAUCAUCAUAGGACAGCACUCAUGCAACAGCAUUUAGCCACAAGCCGUGAAUCGGCUGAAUUAUCAGCGCCACCCGGAGGUCAUAAAAUAAACGAAUUGAAGGAAGCCGCUCGAGCGCAUCCGUCCGUCUCGACAAAGUGAAAGGACCGCGUUUAAUUAACUGUGAAACUUUCUCUUUUCGCUACUUACAUACUAUUCUAGUAUAAGUAUAAUCGUGUUGUGCUGAAUGUUUUAUUUUUGUUAUAUUUGUAGAAUCGUUACAUAAAAUAAUUCUCCUAAGAACUACUCUUCUUCCCUGCAAUAAAUAAUUUGAAUAGCGCCUAAUUAAAACUUAUUCUCCUGAGAGUUAACAGAGAGCAAUCUCUAUACCUAG
Molecule: unclassified non-coding RNA, 3090 nt
Filed under: Dimorphilus gyrociliatus
Lineage: Eukaryota; Metazoa; Annelida; Polychaeta; Dinophilidae
Description: c2H2-type domain-containing protein
Source: RNAcentral